CCCCUCUCAAGGUUGCACCUGGAUAGUUUCCAGUACUCUAUCAGUUUCAACUAUGGGAGGGAGAGUCAAGCAGAGUCAUAUCCAUUCCAUUCCUAGCUUGGCCAGAGGCUAGCAAGUGGAAGGCAAUCUGCUAUAAGU
This is a small nucleolar RNA of Ornithorhynchus anatinus (platypus), 138 nucleotides long. Lineage: Eukaryota; Metazoa; Chordata; Mammalia; Monotremata; Ornithorhynchidae. The record is from RefSeq and is a predicted model, not a curated record.